RNAcentral lists this small nuclear RNA (107 nucleotides) under Chinchilla lanigera (long-tailed chinchilla). The record is from RNAcentral. Lineage: Eukaryota; Metazoa; Chordata; Mammalia; Rodentia; Chinchillidae.
GUGCUGGCUUUGCCAGCACAUACACUAAAAUUGGAAUGAUGCAGAGAAGAUUAGCAUGGCCCCUGCACAAGGAUGACAUGUAAAUUCAUGAAGUGUUCCAUCCGACA